RNAcentral lists this ribosomal RNA (497 nucleotides) under uncultured bacterium. RNAcentral describes it as "partial 16S ribosomal RNA". It matches the Rfam family "Bacterial small subunit ribosomal RNA", at positions 28 to 507 of the family's 1533-position model. The record is from RNAcentral.
GAUGAACGCUGGCGGCGUGCCUAAUACAUGCAAGUCGAGCGAACAAAUUAGUAUCUUGCUCCUUUGACGUUAGCGGCGGACGGAUGAGUUGACCGUUGAUUACCUACCUAUUAGCCUGCGAUAACUUCGGGAAACCGAAGCUGAUACCGGAUAACAUAUUGAACAGCCUCGUUCAAUCGUGAGGUCCGGCUUUGCUGUCACUUAUAGAUUGAUCCGCACCGUAUUAGCUAUUUCGUAAUGUAACGGCUUCCCCAUGCAACGAUACGUAGCCGACCUGAGAGGGUGAUCGGCCACACGGGAAGUGAGAGACGGCCCAGACUUCUACGGGAGGAAGCAGUAGGGAAUCUUACGGAAGGGGGGAAAGGCGGAUGGAGCAACGCCGCGUGAGUGAUGAAGGUCCUAGGAUCGGAAAACGCUGUUAUCAGGGAAGAACAAAUGUGUAAGUAACAGUGAACAUCUUGACGGUACCUGAUCAGAAAGCCACGGCUAACUACGUG